This 492-nucleotide ribosomal RNA is filed under the name uncultured bacterium. RNAcentral describes it as "partial 16S ribosomal RNA". It matches the Rfam family "Bacterial small subunit ribosomal RNA", at positions 29 to 507 of the family's 1533-position model. The record is from RNAcentral.
AGUGAACGCUGGCGGUAGGCCUAACACAUGCAAGUCGAACGGCAGCACAGUAAGAGCUUGCUCUUACGGGUGGCGAGUGGCGGACGGGUGAGGAAUACAUCGGAAUCUACUUUUUCGUGGGGGAUAACGUAGGGAAACUUACGCUAAUACCGCAUACGACCUACGGGUGAAAGCAGGGGAUCUUCGGACCUUGCGCGAUUGAAUGAGCCGAUGUCGGAUUAGCUAGUUGGCGGGGUAAAGGCCCACCAAGGCGACGAUCAGUAGCUGGUCUGAGAGGAUGAACAGCCACACUGGAACUGAGACACGGUCCAGACUCCUACGGGAGGCAGCAGUGGGGAAUAUUGGACAAUGGGCGCAAGCCUGAUCCAGCCAUACCGCGUGGGUGAAGAAGGCCUUCGGGUUGUAAAGCCCUUUUGUUGGGAAAGAAAAGCAGCAGGUUAAUACCCCGCUGUUCUGACGGUACCCAAAGAAUAAGCACCGGCUAACUUCGUG